GCUUUCGGGCUUCGACCGGCGUACGGGUGCGUAACGCGUAUACAAUCUGCCUUUCACAUAGGGAUAGCCCGAAGAAAUUUGGAUUAAUACCUAAUGGUAUAUAAGUGUGGCAUCACAUUUAUAUUAAAGCUGAGGCGGUGAAAGAUGAGUAUGCGUUCUAUUAGCUAGUUGGAGAGGUAACGGCUCCCCAAGGCUACGAUAGAUAGGGGUUCUGAGAGGGAUAUCCCCCACACUGGUACUGAGAUACGGACCAGACUCCUACGGGAGGCAGCAGUGAGGAAUAUUGGACAAUGGUCGGAAGACUGAUCCAGCCAUGCCGCGUGCAGGAAGACGGCCUUAUGGGUUGCAAACUGCUUUUGCAGGGGAAGAAUAAGGAGUACGUGUACUUUGAUGACGGUACUCUGCGAAUAAGCAUCGGCUAACUCCGUGCCAGCAGCCGCGGUAAUACGGAGGAUGCGAGCGUUAUCCGGAAUCAUUGGGUUUAAAGGGUCCGUAGGCGGGCUAAUAAGUCAGAGGUGAAAGCGCUCAGCUCAACUGAGCAACUGCCUUUGAAACUGUUAGUCUUGAAUGGUU
RNAcentral lists this ribosomal RNA (573 nucleotides) under uncultured Cytophaga sp. RNAcentral describes it as "bacterial SSU rRNA". It matches the Rfam family "Bacterial small subunit ribosomal RNA", at positions 76 to 651 of the family's 1533-position model. The record is from RNAcentral. Lineage: Bacteria; Pseudomonadati; Bacteroidota; Cytophagia; Cytophagales; Cytophagaceae.